Long non-coding RNA from Ixodes scapularis (black-legged tick), 361 nucleotides. RefSeq lists it as uncharacterized. The record is from RefSeq and is a predicted model, not a curated record. NCBI's taxonomy places the organism in Eukaryota, Metazoa, Arthropoda, Arachnida, Ixodida, Ixodidae. The transcript is spliced from 3 exons.
CGGGCUGCACAGUUGAGACUUCGAGCAACACUGCCACGUUGGAAGAUCCCAUGGUGUCUAGAGAUAUUGCUGCAAACUGCCUUGAACAACAUCACGAAGAAACAAUAUCUGAACUCCGUCGUAAGCUUGACCUGGCCAACAAAAAAUAUCUCAAGCUGUCACGAGAGCUUCAGAAUCUUAAAGAUGACUGUAGAGGGCAUCUUGCUGACGACCAGAUCCUCUGUAUGCAACAAAAAGAUAUGAGAGGCAACAGAUGGUCUGGGGAGACUACCAAACGAGCCUUGCAACUCCGUCUUGCCUGUGGACACAGAGGCUACAACUUCCUUCGAGAAGGAUUCCUGCCCUUGCCAGCCGAGCGAAC